Long non-coding RNA from Cavia porcellus (domestic guinea pig), 1998 nucleotides. RefSeq lists it as uncharacterized. The record is from RefSeq and is a predicted model, not a curated record. Lineage: Eukaryota; Metazoa; Chordata; Mammalia; Rodentia; Caviidae. The transcript is spliced from 3 exons.
AGACUGUCGAUGGUUGUUGGACUUUUCUCCACGUCUUUCGAAUACAGGCUACUUUUUUACUUUAUAUUUUUUUCUCUUUCAUUGCGCUAAAAACUCUAACAUUAAUGGUGUCAUGUGACUUGGAUGACAGAGCGCAUCAGCUCCUAAAAAAUUCCUCCCAGUUGGAGCUACCCUGCCUAAGAACCACCUUUUUUUCCCCCUCCAGGACUGUUUACUUGCCACUGCUAAUCCGCUAAUCCAUAUGCAACCACGACCUUCCUCAUUCAUCACAGCAGUGACACUUGGAGAUCUGAGACAGGCAAAUUGGGACAAGGCAGAACUGCCUGAGCCCUUCCUGGACCAUGCUUCAAGUGCAACAAAGGAGGAUAUUGGGCAAGAGAGUGCCCCAACCCUGGCAUUCCUCUGGGGCCUUGCCCCUAUUGCAAUCUCAAGGGGCAUUGGAAGAGUGACUUUUCUAGCUGCCAGAGAGCAGGAAAUCAUCUCAAGGACUACAACUAAGGUGGAGCAGCCCCUAACUGGUCUUCUUGGCAACACCAACAGUGGUCAAAGUUGCUGGACUGCCAUCCUGGUUCCACAUCACUCAAGCUAAGUGGUGCCUUCCCAUCCCUGAAUCUAAACACCCUGAGUGGUCACCUCACCUUCUAUCUCCCACCCAUCUCUGUCUCACCAAGGCCUCACUGCCAUAACUCUCAGGCUAUAUCAUGUUUUGCCAUCCUAUUUGGUUUUUGAUCCCUUAUAUUCUAUUAGUUAAAUUUUUCACUAUAACUAUCUUUGUUCUCUCCGCCCUCAGCUGUUUGGUUAAGUAUGAGAUCCCUGUGGGUUUAGGCUCUUAUGUCCCUUAUAGUGACACAGCCACGGACCUGCCCUCCUAUAUUCUGUAAUUUCCCAAAUAUUAUUCAAUCAUCAGGCCUUUAUCUCUCAUGCUUCUUAUUCUUUCCAGCUCAACUCCUAUACCAAAGACAAGCACUACCUACCCAUAAUUUUAACUUUUACCCUUUCAGAUGGGGGACUAAUUACCUCUCAUAACUUCACUCUUCCUAACCCCACACUUAUUUUUCAGAAUUCUAUCUCACCAUAGUCCCAAUGGAACAGCAUAUUUAAAUCAAAGGCACCUUUCCUUCUACCUCCCCUGUGUCCUUAACUAUGCCUCCUCAUAGCACCUUGUCUCUUUGUUUUUCCAGCCUAGGAUGUGGGCAUUCACUGAUGAUAUUGUCCUGGCUGAAACACCUGGUACCAGCUUCUGCAUGGACAUCAAUCAUCAUCCUGUCAACCUUCCUAAACCCCAAUAAGGCACCCUCUUUCAGCAGGAAGUAGUAAGAGAGAGAUUUUGCCCUUUUCCUAACAAUAAAAAGAUGGGAAUGAAAGAGUUUUGCCCUAGAAUAAGUUACACAAUAUGAAGGCAGUGGGAGGAAGAUCCAAAGAAUGCUUACCUUGAGGUCACUUCCUCCUUCCCCUAUGACAACUUCCUUUUGUCUUUCCCAGUGGUAUGAAAAAAGGUUCCAAUCAGCUCCUCAUGAGUCAUCAAUGCCUGCCCUAAGUGCCACCCUUGGUCAGAGGUUACAUGGAUAUCCUAUACCCCAUAUUCUGGUCAGAGGAGGUUAGAUUGUCUAUGGUUGUUGAACUCCUCUACAUGUCCUUGGGAUAAAGGCUACCUUUUUACUUUAUAUUUUUUUCUCUUUCAUUAUGCUGAAAACUCUAACAGUUCCUGCAUUAGUCAAUAUGCACUCUGUUAGCAAAUGUAACACCAGUGGAAACUGGUAAACCAGUUUUCAAAUGUCAUAUUCAGAUUCAUUCGGGAGAAUGAAGCAAGUCUGUUCAUAACAUCAUUGUUUAUUACUAUAUGAAUAAAGAACUGCUGAUUGAAUUCCAGGAUAAAUUUCUCAAUUGAAAGAAUAAUAAGUCUUUGUAUCUACAAGGGCAUAAACUUGUAUGACAUAUUUUGACCCAAUACUUUUCUAUAAGUCUUUUACAUUCCUGUGACCACCAUGAGAAAUCUGU